This 254-nucleotide ribosomal RNA is filed under the name uncultured bacterium. Its description in RNAcentral is "partial 16S ribosomal RNA". It matches the Rfam family "Bacterial small subunit ribosomal RNA", at positions 524 to 777 of the family's 1533-position model. The record is from RNAcentral.
UACGUAGGGUGCGAGCGUUAAUCGGAAUUACUGGGCGUAAAGCGUGCGCAGGCGGUCUGUUAAGACCGAUGUGAAAUCCCCGGGCUUAACCUGGGAACUGCAUUGGUGACUGGCAGGCUUUGAGUGUGGCAGAGGGGGGUAGAAUUCCACGUGUAGCAGUGAAAUGCGUAGAGAUGUGGAGGAAUACCGAUGGCGAAGGCAGCCCCCUGGGCCACACUGACGCUCAUGCACGAAAGCGUGGGGAGCAAACAGGG